GCACUGUUGACGAGUUCCAAACAGGACGAAACAGCUGUCCAAUGC
Molecule: non-coding RNA, 45 nt
Organism: Echinostoma caproni
Lineage: Eukaryota; Metazoa; Platyhelminthes; Trematoda; Plagiorchiida; Echinostomatidae
Source: Rfam